GCGCGAAAACUUCGCAAUGCGGGAAACCGCGACGAGGGGAUUCCAAGUGCCCGCACACUGUGCGUGCUGUUUUCCGGCCUAAAAAGCCGGGAGAGUAAGAGCUGGGUAAGACAGGUGCCAGCCGCCGCGGUAAUACCUGCAGCUCGAGUGGUGAUCGUUAUUAUUGGGCCUACAGCGUCCGUAGCCGGUCAGGUAAAUCCUUGGGUAAAUCGUACGGCUUAACCGUGCGAAUUCCGAGGAGACUGCCUGACUUGGGAUCGGGAGAGGUCGGAGGUACUCCCGGGGUAGGGGUGAAAUCCUGUAAUCCUGGGGGGACCACCAGUGGCGAAGGCGUCCGACCAGAACGAGUUCGACGGUAAGGGACGAAGCCUUGGGGCACAAACCGG
This 386-nucleotide ribosomal RNA is filed under the name uncultured euryarchaeote. RNAcentral describes it as "bacterial SSU rRNA". It matches the Rfam family "Archaeal small subunit ribosomal RNA", at positions 339 to 727 of the family's 1478-position model. The record is from RNAcentral. Lineage: Archaea; Methanobacteriati; Methanobacteriota.